GAUGAACGCUAGCUACAGGCUUAACACAUGCAAGUCGAGCGAGAACCAGGGCUUCGGCCCUGGGGACAGCGGCGAACGGGUGAGUAACACGUGGGUAAUCUGCCCUUGACAUCGGGAUAGCCCGGGGAAACCCGGAUUAAUACCGAAUAGCCUCCGGAGCCUUUGGGCGCCGGAGAAAAGGUAGCUUCGGCCUCUGGUCAAGGAUGAGCCCGCGGCGGAUUAGCUUGUUGGCGGGGUAACGCCCACAAGGCGACGAUCCGUAGCUGGUCUGAGAGGACGAUCAGCCACACUGGGACUGAGACACGGGCCCAGACUCCUACGGGACGCAGCAGUGGGGAAUCUUGCGCAAAUGCGGGAAACCGUGACGCAGCGACGCCGCGUGGGGGAAGAAGGGCCUUCGGGUUGU
This 406-nucleotide ribosomal RNA is filed under the name uncultured bacterium. RNAcentral describes it as "bacterial SSU rRNA". It matches the Rfam family "Bacterial small subunit ribosomal RNA", at positions 28 to 426 of the family's 1533-position model. The record is from RNAcentral.